This is a long non-coding RNA of Athalia rosae (coleseed sawfly), 316 nucleotides long. RefSeq lists it as uncharacterized. NCBI's taxonomy places the organism in Eukaryota, Metazoa, Arthropoda, Insecta, Hymenoptera, Athaliidae. The transcript is spliced from 3 exons. The record is from RefSeq and is a predicted model, not a curated record.
GAAUGAAAAAUGCAGAAAAAUCGUUGGGGUUCUCCGUUCGAUCCGCGAUGCUGCUUUUUGACAGAACUUCGCACGUUAUGUCCAUUUUGUCGCAUUUCUGGACGAAAAAAUGGAGAUCUCUCGACGAGUAUCAGGAAUUGCUCGGUCCAGUCGACACGCUCGUUUUCCUGAAGCCGUAAUAUAGACGUAGAAAUAUCAAGAUAUUCCGAUGGUUUCGGGUCGUGGCACAAUUGACUCGACGAAUUCAAGUCCAAUUUAUCCAACGGCCGGUCGAUUGAUGAGCUAAUUAUUCAUCAAUUAUUCGCUGUUGGGAGCA